CCUACGGGGAGCAGCAGUGAGGAAUAUUGGUCAAUGGCCGGAAGGCUGAACCAGCCAUGCCGCGUGAAGGUCAGUGCCCUAUGGGCGUUAAACUUCUUUUGUGCGGGAGCAAUAAUGGUCACGUGUGGCCAGACGAGAGUACCGUACGAAUAAGCAUCGGCUAACUCCGUGCCAGCAGCCGCGGUAAUACGGAGGAUGCGAGCGUUAUCCGGAUUUAUUGGGUUUAAAGGGUGCGUAGGCGGGUCGUUAAGUCAGUGGUCAAAUUGAGGGGCUCAACCCCUUCCCGCCAUUGAAACUGGCGCUCUUGAGUGGAAGAGAAGUAUGCGGAAUGCGUGGUGUAGCGGUGAAAUGCAUAGAUAUCACGCAGAACCCCGAUUGCGAAGGCAGCAUACCGGCGCGCAACUGACGCUCAUGCACGAAAGCGUGGGUAUCGAACAGGAUUAGAUACCCCAGUAGUC
RNAcentral lists this ribosomal RNA (458 nucleotides) under uncultured bacterium. Its description in RNAcentral is "partial 16S ribosomal RNA". It matches the Rfam family "Bacterial small subunit ribosomal RNA", at positions 338 to 795 of the family's 1533-position model. The record is from RNAcentral.